GAUGAAGAACGUAGUGAAAUGCGAUAAGUAAUGUGAAUUGCAGAAUUCAGUGAAUCAUCGAAUCUUUGAACGCACAUUGCGCCCCCCGGCAUUCCGGGGGGCAUGCCUGUUCGAGCGUCUCCAGGACGAAUCCUCGCGCGAGUGAACGCGCGGUCGUGGCGGAGGUGGCGUGCCCGAGCAGGGCGGCCACCGCGCUGGAAUCCAUGGGCGGACGCCUGCCGCGUGGCCGAGCGUGAUAUGACGCAUUGGCGCUCGUGCGCGGCGAGGCUGCCAGCCCUGGCCCGUCUGUCGGGCGGUGUAGAUCACCACGUGGGAACUCCUCGAAUCAGGUAGGGAUACCCGCUGAACUUAAGCAUAUCAAUAAGCGGAGGA
This 372-nucleotide unclassified non-coding RNA is filed under the name soil metagenome. RNAcentral describes it as "partial contains 5.8S ribosomal RNA, internal transcribed spacer 2, and large subunit ribosomal RNA". The stretch from base 1 to 120 matches the Rfam family "5.8S ribosomal RNA", at positions 35 to 154 of the family's 154-position model. The record is from RNAcentral.